UGUGAUCGGAAUUUAAGAGUCCUUACUCCUACAGACGAGCGUAUUUUGCAAAAUGCUUCCUUUUUCAUUUAAGAUUACGACGUAACUAUUAGUAUUUAUUCAAAAAUUGAUAACGUACUUAAAUAAUCAUUUCUUAAACUAGGGGCUGAAAACGUUCAAAUUUUCAUUUUCUCUUUUUGAACCUAAAAUAAAUGAGUUUUCUUAGGAGUCUUUUUCAAAUUUUGCAGUGAGAAGGGUCGUUUCGGUUCUCAAUUUUGCAGUAAACAAGAAUCAUUUGGUACAUGAAUGAUUACAAUUCAACUCACCAUAUCUUGUACGAGGGGCUGACAUGCUUGAAAAUCGAAGAUUCAUUUUAAAAAAUUGAUAAAAAACCUUCCGAGUUUUCUUCAUUUUUUUGGUGAAAACAGGGUUACAUUACAUUUUUUUAUCGCAAAUUGGACUUAUAUUUUGCCCCAAAAAUAAUAUUUUAUCAAAUUGUAACUUUAUGUCUACUCAUAAAAAAAAAAUCAUAACUAUAGGACCUACCUAGCCGUAAAUCUAUAUUUUUUUAAAGACGUACAAAUCACGCUGCACCGACACCGCGCGCUCAGUCUCCGCCGAGUGCGCUUAGGGGACGGACCUGUGCUCGACCGUCAGGCGUUCGUUGCUUUCGUAACCAUCGAGAGAGUUCCGAGAAGUGCUGUAUACUAUGAUUAGAAAAUCUUGAUCCAAGGGUGUACAUUUUUUACACCAUAUUUAAUUUUAACAACCGACUCUCGCUUAUGUGAUAGAUUUUCAGUGUUACUUGAAUUCUGGUUAGGGUUUGCAUUUUUAUUAUACCCGGACGACCUGGAUGAUGUCCAGGUUCUCAUGAUGGAGUCAGGAAUGGUCACCGAACUCCUAAUCUACUCAUCAUAACUCCAUCGUGUUUGGGCUCAAUAGAUUUUCCUUGACGAACACCAUCGAUCUAGAUGAGGUCCAGGUUCUCAUGAUGGAGUCAGGAGUUGGUCACCAGAACUCCUAAUCUACUCAUUAACACUCCAUCGUGUUUGGGUUCAAAUGAUUUGCCCUGACGAGCACCAUCUAUCUAGAUAAGGUCCAGGGUCAUGAGACCCUUCUGGUGACCAACUUCUGACUCCAUCAUGAGAUGGUCACCAGAAGUCCUAAUUUACUCAUCAUAAGUCCAUCGUGUUUGGGCUCAAUCGAUUUGCCUCGACGAGCACCAUCUAUCUAGAUGAGGUCCAGGGUCAUGAGACCCUUCUGGUGACCAACUCCUGACUCCAUCAUGAGAUGGUCACCAGAUGUUCUAAUCUACUCAUAAUAACUCCAUCGUGUUUGGGCUCAAUAGAUUUGCCCCGACGAGCACCAUCGAUCUAGAUGAAGUCCAGGUUCUCAUGAUGGAGUCAGUAAUGAAUCUAGAUGAAGUCCAGGUUUUCAUGAUGGAGUCAGGAGUUGGUCACCAGAACUCCUAAUCUACUCAUCAUAACUCCAUCGUGUUUGGGCUCAAUAGAUUUUCCUUGACGAGCACUAUCGAUCUAGAUGCGGUUGAUAGAUUAUUAAUAUUAUUUUAUUUUACAUACAUACUUACAAAUAAAGCUUCAUUUGCUUCCCACAAGGAUCAAGUAAACCUUAUAAAUCAACUUCGUUCUAAAUAAAAACCGGCCAAGUGCGAGUCGGACUCGCACACGAAGGGUUCCGUACCAUUAUCUAUAAAAACGGUCACCCAUCCAAGUACUGACCCCGCCCGAGCCCGACGUUGCUUAACUUCUGUCAAAAAUCACGUUUACAACAGUAUGGGAGCCCCACUUAAAUCUUUAUUUUAUUCUGUUUUAGUAUUUGUUGUUAUAGCGGCAACAGAAAUACAUCAUCUGUGAAAAUUUCAACUGUCUAGCUAUCUCGAUUCGUGAGAUACAGCCUGGUGAUUGACGGACGGACGGACGGACGGACGGACAGCGGAGUCUUAGUAAUAGGGUCCCGUUUUACCCUUUGGGUACGGAACCCUAAAAACGGAGAUACUUCUGUUUUAGACAUAAAAUCGAACUUCAGAGAGUUCAGUAGUUGUUACUUGCAGGUACUCUCGAAUUUAUUGUCAUUAUACAGGGUGGCCAUAAAAUAAGUGCUUUUCCGCUGCUGGCAAGAAAAUGGUUGCUGGAAAAAAAAUUACCCUCCCAUAGAAAAUGGACUAGACAAAAUGUAUGAAACAGCCAAAUUUUUUUUUCGCGAUUUCGGGGUUGGUCCCAUCGCGGUUCGCGGUUGCUUAGUUCAGUAUAAUCCCUAAACCUCCCUGGCAACGGGAAUGCACUUAUUUUUGGCCACCCUGUAUAUAUUAUUAUUUAAUAUAACCUUAUCUUUAAAACAUUUAAUUAUUCAACUUCCUUGGUGAACUGACUUGAAUAAGUUACUUGACUUCGUGGAUGAACUUGUCACAAUAAUUCCAUGACAUACAGAGGUAAACAAUCAUUAUUUUUUACUCGUCGUUGGUUAUAUAUUAUCUCAUCACAUAUACUCUAUUGACUACUACCAUGCUUAUAAAAUAAAAUACAGAGUGCCAAUAUAACGUUAAAAUAAAUUUACUUGCAAAUUAAAUUGAAAAGUAUCAAAAUUAUUCUUGUCUGCGUUGAAACGCGCUUAGCUUUGCCGGCGCUCGCGUACCGAGCGCUAACGCCAUCUAUCGAGUGUUAUUUCGCAAAAUCGGUGAACGCUCUAAGGAAUAAGGGCUCUUAAGGUAAAA
Long non-coding RNA from Cydia splendana, 2710 nucleotides. RefSeq lists it as uncharacterized. Lineage: Eukaryota; Metazoa; Arthropoda; Insecta; Lepidoptera; Tortricidae. The transcript is spliced from 2 exons. The record is from RefSeq and is a predicted model, not a curated record.